RNAcentral lists this unclassified non-coding RNA (415 nucleotides) under uncultured Piloderma. RNAcentral describes it as "sequence contains ITS2". The stretch from base 1 to 155 matches the Rfam family "5.8S ribosomal RNA". Lineage: Eukaryota; Fungi; Basidiomycota; Agaricomycetes; Atheliales; Atheliaceae. The record is from RNAcentral.
AACUUUUAACAACGGAUCACUUGGCUCUCGCAUCGAUGAAGAACGCAGCGAAAUGCGAUAAGUAAUGUGAAUUGCAGAUUUUCAUUGAAUCAUCGAAUCUUUGAACGCACCUUGCGCUCCUUGGUAUUCCGAGGAGCAGGCCUGUCUGACUGUCAUCAAAUUCUCAACUCCAAGGGUUUCACGUACUUUUGGAGGUUGGACUUGGAGGUGCCGGCCGCAUCUAUGGUCAGCUCCGCUCAAAUGCAUCAGCGGAAUUAAACCUUUGGCUUCCGGGAGUCAGUGUGAUAAUCUUGUUGAGCUGUCGUUUGAUCCUCAGAGUACGCUUAUAAUGGUCUUUGUACACCUAAUCAUCAAAUUUGACCUCAAAUCAGGUAGGACUACCCGCUGAACUUAAGCAUAUCAAUAAGCGGAGGCU